CCCCUCUCAGGGUCACACCUGGAGAGUUUCCAGUACUCUACCAGUCUCGACAGUAGGAGGGAGAGUCAAGCAGAGGCCUACCCAUUCCAUUUCUAGCUUGGGCAGUGGCUAGCGAGUGGAAGGCAAUCUGCUACAAGU
RNAcentral lists this small nucleolar RNA (138 nucleotides) under Ornithorhynchus anatinus (platypus). Lineage: Eukaryota; Metazoa; Chordata; Mammalia; Monotremata; Ornithorhynchidae. The record is from RNAcentral.